RNAcentral lists this ribosomal RNA (253 nucleotides) under uncultured bacterium. Its description in RNAcentral is "partial 16S ribosomal RNA". It matches the Rfam family "Bacterial small subunit ribosomal RNA", at positions 526 to 779 of the family's 1533-position model. The record is from RNAcentral.
CGGAGGGUGCAAGCGUUAUCCGGAUUCACUGGGUUUAAAGGGUGCGUAGGUGGACAGGUAAGUCAGUGGUGAAAUCUCCAAGCUUAACUUGGAAACUGCCGUUGAUACUAUCUGUCUUGAAUAUCGUGGAGGUAAGCGGAAUAUGUCAUGUAGCGGUGAAAUGCUUAGAUAUGACAUAGAACACCGAUUGCGAAGGCAGCUUACUACACGAUCAUUGACACUGAGGCACGAAAGCGUGGGAGCAAACAGGAUU